RNAcentral lists this ribosomal RNA (492 nucleotides) under uncultured bacterium. Its description in RNAcentral is "partial 16S ribosomal RNA". It matches the Rfam family "Bacterial small subunit ribosomal RNA", at positions 29 to 507 of the family's 1533-position model. The record is from RNAcentral.
AGUGAACGCUGGCGGUAGGCCUAACACAUGCAAGUCGAACGGCAGCACAGUAAGAGCUUGCUCUUACGGGUGGCGAGUGGCGGACGGGUGAGGAAUACAUCGGAAUCUACUUUUUCGUGGGGGAUAACGCAGGGAAACUUACGCUAAUACCGCAUACGACCUACGGGUGAAAGCAGGGGAUCUUCGGACCUUGCGCGAUUGAUUGAGCCGAUGUCGGAUUAGCUAGUUGGCGGGGUAAAGGCCCACCAAGGCGACGAUCCGUAGCUGGUCUGAGAGGAUGAUCAGCCACACUGGAACUGAGACACGGUCCAGACUCCUACGGGAGGCAGCAGUGGGGAAUAUUGGACAAUGGGCGCAAGCCUGAUCCAGCCAUACCGCGUGGGUGAAGAAGGCCUUCGGGUUGUAAAGCCCUUUUGUUGGGAAAGAAAAGCAGCAGGUUAAUACCCCGCUGUUCUGACGGUACCCAAAGAAUAAGCACCGGCUAACUUCGUG